AAGUCGAGCGGAUGAAGAGAGCUUGCUCUCUGAUUCAGCGGCGGACGGGUGAGUAAUGCCUAGGAAUCUGCCUGGUAGUGGGGGACAACGUCUCGAAAGGGACGCUAAUACCGCAUACGUCCUACGGGAGAAAGCAGGGGACCUUCGGGCCUUGCGCUAUCAGAUGAGCCUAGGUCGGAUUAGCUAGUUGGUGAGGUAAUGGCUCACCAAGGCAACGAUCCGUAACUGGUCUGAGAGGAUGAUCAGUCACACUGGAACUGAGACAUGGUCCAGACUCCUACGGGAGGCAGCAGUGGGGAAUAUUGGACAAUGGGCGAAAGCCUGAUCCAGCCAUGCCGUGUUUUUUAAGAAGGUCUUCGGAUUGUAAAGCACUUUAAGUUGGGAGGAAGGGUUGUAGAUUAAUACUCUGCAAUUUUGACGUUACCGACAGAAUAAGCACCGGCUAACUCUGUGCCAGCAGCCGCGGUAA
This 469-nucleotide ribosomal RNA is filed under the name uncultured Pseudomonas sp. RNAcentral's name for it is "bacterial SSU rRNA". It matches the Rfam family "Bacterial small subunit ribosomal RNA", at positions 59 to 523 of the family's 1533-position model. Lineage: Bacteria; Pseudomonadati; Pseudomonadota; Gammaproteobacteria; Pseudomonadales; Pseudomonadaceae. The record is from RNAcentral.